CAAUAGCGUAUAUUAAAGUUGUUGCAGUUAAAAAGCUCGUAGUUGGAUUUGUGGCUGUCGCCGGCGGCCUAGCACCUAGUGUUAGUGCAUGCUGGCGUCGCCAUCCUUGGGUGGAGCCUGUGUGGCAUUAGGUUGUCGCGCAGGGGAUGCCCAUCGUUUACUGUGAGAAAAUUAGAGUGUUCAAAGCAGGCUUAUGCCGUUGAAUAUGUUAGCAUGGAAUAAUAAGAUAGGACCUCGGUACUAUUUUGUUGGUUUGCGCACCGAGGUAAUGAUUAAUAGGGACAGUUGGGGGUAUUCGUAUUCCAUUGUCAGAGGUGAAAUUCUUGGAUUUCUGGAAGACGAACUACUGCGAAAGCAUUUACCAAGGAUGUUUUCAUUA
Molecule: ribosomal RNA, 379 nt
Filed under: uncultured eukaryote
Lineage: Eukaryota
Description: partial 18S ribosomal RNA
Rfam family: Eukaryotic small subunit ribosomal RNA
Source: RNAcentral